Molecule: long non-coding RNA, 2021 nt
Filed under: Cicer arietinum (chickpea)
Lineage: Eukaryota; Viridiplantae; Streptophyta; Magnoliopsida; Fabales; Fabaceae
Description: long non-coding RNA (CARI_LNC001589)
Source: RNAcentral
CCAAUAGCACCGGACCACCACCAGCUCAUAGUUGCUCAGAUUGAGAGAUCCAAUCAAAAAAAUGAAGAGAGGAGAAGUAAACUAAAAGGUUGGUGAAUCUGAAUGUAUUUUUGCUUCUUAUAAUACUUGAAUAUUUGUGUACCCAAAAAAGUACUUGAAGAUUCGUGUCAAACGAGGAUGAACGUUGACUCGUGUCGUCGUUAUCUAGUGUGAAUUUGAAAAAAUUGUUGGUACAGAUUACGUAAAUAAAUAAAUAUCUAUUUGAAUGAAAGAGGAGCAUUAAAAACGAGUUCCAAUACUUUCUUUAAAGUUAUUAAAAAAUAAGAAACAGAUCGUAAAGUAAAUAAUCUCAAUCAAUCUGAAUUAGAUUAUUUAAGUUUUUUCUUUUAUUCAAUUUAGAAAAUCUAUAUCCAAAAAUAUAAUAUUAAUUUUCAUACAAUGACUUCUAACUCUACCGUCCCACCGGCCACCAUGAUUGUAUUUGCAAAAUAAUUUUUUUAAGCGGAAUAUUUUUUCAAAUUUAAAGCAUAUAUAAUUAUUAAAUACCAGUAUUUGAAUUAUUUAAGUUAUUAUCUUUCACUUUUUAUUUAUAUUGUAUUUUCUUUUUUUUAGUUAUUAUCUUUAACCUAUUAUUUUUAAAUAAAAUAUCUUUAUACCUUUUUAAUUUAAUUUCAAAAAUUAUUUCAGUCUUUUAUUUUCUUUUUAUAAUUUUAAAUAAUAAUUUGAUCAUUUAUGUAUUAAAAUAUUAAGAAUGUUAUUAUUUUUAUAUAAACUAAUAAAAUUUGUCGUCAUCUUUAAACAAAAUUCAAAAAAUUCAUUAUCAAUUUCAAUAAAAUUCAUAUAUUGAUCAAAUUAAUAACUCAACUCUUCAAAUAAACUGAUAUAUUAAUCUCCAACAAUAUCAAAUCUAUCAAAUAAAUAACCUACAUUUUAAGAUUUGAUCUCCAAAACACCGAGACAAUAUAUUUUUCUUUUUAUUUUUCUCUAAUCUAAAUAUGAAAAUAUGUGUUCUUUAUUUAAUGUUGUUGUUGGAAAUGAAAUAUGAACUUAUUUGAAUAUUAAAGUUAUGAAUUUGAUGAAAAUAAAUAUUUCAUUGAAGAUGAUCACUAAUUUUUUUUAUCUUUUUUUGAAGAUGAUAAUUUUUUUCGAUUUAUAUAACAAAAAUAAUAACAUUGUUAAUAUUUUAAUAUAUAAAAAGUUAAAUAAAUAAUUAAUUAAAAGAAAAAAAAAGAUUAAAUUGUUAUCUAAAUUUAAAUUAAGAGACUGUAAAAUAUAUUUUAUCUAAUUUUUAAUACGUGAAAAGUGAUAAAAUUUAUUAAUUAUUGUAAAAUAAAUGAAGUAGGGUUCACAAAAAAUGGAUAAUAUUGUCUUUAUUUAUGGAAAUUAAAUGGUUUUAUUUUUCAAAACUAUAUAUUACGAGGAUAUUAACAAACUGACAAACAUUCCUAACUAGAUAAAUUAUUUAUUAAAAAAUUAAUUAUAUCAAUUUCUAAUACAUUGUAUGGCUUCCAUGAAAAUUCUUUAUCUUUGACUAGAAGAUUCUUUUAAAUUUGGCGUGGAUUAAUAAAAUAUCCUAUUUAAUUUAAAAUUUAUAAUUUAGAAUUGGGAAAUGUUGAUCCAUUUUAUCUGUUUUAUGAUAACAAUAUCUAGAAAAGUGAUUAGCAAAAAAUAACAUACAUUUUAUAUUAAUAUUUUUAAAAGUUAUUUAUUUUAAAAUGAAUUUAUUUUUCAAAUCAAUCAAUGAUCGUAAAUUAAAAGAAUAUGUUAUUUUUUAGGUAGAACGUGAAGGAGUAAAUUUCUUUGACUAAAAUGGUUAAUUAUUUUUCCAGAUGUCACGUUACUGAUCACAAGAUGUGUGGGAAUGGGAUCCCCUCGGAAUCGGAACAAUAGGGAAUUGAUGGGUGGCUUGUGUGGUUGACGAGCAGAGUACACAAGGUGUCUUGGGAAACAUAAUUGCUAUUUAGAAGGAAGGUAUGUUUUCCAAUACAGAAGGCCGUGCCAUUUUGGACGGAGAGGCUCGG